UCCCUGCUGGUCCAGUGGCUAUGUCUCUGUACUCCUAAUGCAGGAGGCCCAGGUUCAAUCCCUGGUCAGGGAA
Bos taurus (domestic cattle) is the source of this 73-nucleotide non-coding RNA. NCBI's taxonomy places the organism in Eukaryota, Metazoa, Chordata, Mammalia, Artiodactyla, Bovidae. The record is from Rfam.